CCUUACCAACCCUUGACAUCCUGAUCGCGGUUACGAGAGAUCGUUUCCUUCAGUUCGGCUGGAUCAGUGACAGGUGCUGCAUGGCUGUCGUCAGCUCGUGUCGUGAGAUGUUCGGUUAAGUCCGGCAACGAGCGCAACCCACAUCCCUAGUUGCCAGCAGUUCGGCUGGGCACUCUAUGGAAACUGCCCGUGAUAAGCGGGAGGAAGGUGUGGAUGACGUCAAGUCCUCAUGGCCCUUACGGGUUGGGCUACACACGUGCUACAAUGGCAGUGACAAUGGGUUAAUCCCAAAAAAACUGUCUCAGUUCGGAUUGGGGUCUGCAACUCGACCCCAUGAAGUCGGAAUCGCUAGUAAUCGCGUAACAGCAUGACGCGGUGAAUACGUUCCC
This 389-nucleotide ribosomal RNA is filed under the name uncultured bacterium. RNAcentral's name for it is "bacterial SSU rRNA". It matches the Rfam family "Bacterial small subunit ribosomal RNA", at positions 969 to 1375 of the family's 1533-position model. The record is from RNAcentral.